Molecule: ribosomal RNA, 492 nt
Filed under: uncultured bacterium
Lineage: Bacteria
Description: partial 16S ribosomal RNA
Rfam family: Bacterial small subunit ribosomal RNA
Source: RNAcentral
AGUGAACGCUGGCGGUAGGCCUAACACAUGCAAGUCGAACGGCAGCACAGUAAGAGCUUGCUCUUACGGGUGGCGAGUGGCGGACGGGUGAGGAAUACAUCGGAAUCUACUUUUUCGUGGGGGAUAACGUAGGGAAACUUACGCUAAUACCGCAUACGACCUACGGGUGAAAGCAGGGGAUCUUCGGACCUUGCGCGAUUGAAUGAGCCGAUGUCGGAUUAGCUAGUUGGCGGGGUAAAGGCCCACCAAGGCGACGAUCCGUAGCUGGUCUGAGAGGAUGAUCAGCCACACUGGAACUGAGACACGGUCCAGACUCCUACGGGAGGCAGCAGUGGGGAAUAUUGGACAAUGGGCGCAAGCCUGAUCCAGCCAUACCGCGUGGGUGAAGAAGGCCUUCGGGUUGUAAAGCACUUUUGUUGGGAAAGAAAAGCAGCAGGUUAAUACCCCGCUGUUCUGACGGUACCAAAAGAAUAAGCACCGGCUAACUUCGUG